Molecule: ribosomal RNA, 1457 nt
Filed under: uncultured prokaryote
Description: partial 16S ribosomal RNA
Rfam family: Bacterial small subunit ribosomal RNA
Source: RNAcentral
GAUUGAACGCUGGCGGCAGGCUUAACACAUGCAAGUCGAGCGCGAAAGUUCUUCGGAAUGAGUAGAGCGGCGGACGGGGGAGUAACUUUUAGUAAUCUACCCAGUAGAGGGGGACAACUUGGGGAAACUCAAGCUAAUACCGCAUACGCCCUACGGGGGAAAGCGGGGGACCUUCGGGCCUCGUGCUAUUGGAUGAGCCUGCGUUAGAUUAGCUAGUUGGUAGGGUAAAGGCCUACCAAGGCGACGAUCUAUAGCUGGUCUGAGAGGAUGAUCAGCCACACUGGAACUGAGACACGGUCCAGACUCCUACGGGAGGCAGCAGUGGGGAAUAUUGCACAAUGGGCGCAAGCCUGAUGCAGCCAUGCCGCGUGUGUGAAGAAGGCUAUAGGGUUGUAAAGCACUUUACGAAGGGAGGAAGGCCAGUUAGGUAAUAUCUGACUGGAUUGACGUUACCUGCAGAAUAAGCACCGGCUAACUCCGUGCCAGCAGCCGCGGUAAUUCGAAGGGUGCAAGCGUUAAUCGGAAUUACUCGGCGUAAAGCGCGCGUAGGCGGCCUGAUAAGUUUGGAUGUGAAAGCCCUGGGCUCAACCUAGGAACUGCAUUCAAAACUGUCAGGCUAGAGUAUGGUAGAGGAGAGUGGAAUUUCAGGUGUAGCGGUGAAAUGCGUAGAUAUCUGAAGGAACACCAGUGGCGAAGGCGGCUCUCUGGACCAAUACUGACGCUGAGGUGCGAAAGCGUGGGGAGCAAACAGGAUUAGAUACCCUGGUAGUCCACGCCGUAAACGAUGUCAACUAGCCGUUGGAGGGCUUGUCCCUUUAGUGGCGCAGCUAACGCGAUAAGUUGACCGCCUGGGGAGUACGGCCGCAAGGUUAAAACUCAAAUGAAUUGACGGGGGCCCGCACAAGCGGUGGAGCAUGUGGUUUAAUUCGAUGCAACGCGAAGAACCUUACCAGGUCUUGACAUCCCGAGAAUUUGCUAGAGAUAGAUUAGUGCCUUCGGGAACUCGGUGACAGGUGCUGCAUGGCUGUCGUCAGCUCGUCUCGUGAGAUGGUGGGUUAAGUCCCGUAACGAGCGCAACCCUUGUCCUUAUUUGCCAGCACGUAAUGGUGGGAACUCUAAGGAGACUGCCGGUGACAAACCUGAGGAAGGUGGGGACGACGUCAAGUCAUCAUGGCCCUUACGAGCGGGGCUACACACGUGCUACAAUGGCCAGGACAAACGGUUGCAACCCCGCGAGGGUGAGCUAAUCUGAGAAACCUGGUCGUAGUCCGGAUCGCAGUCUGCAACUCGACUGCGUGAAGUCGGAAUCGCUAGUAAUCGUGAAUCAGAACGUCACGGUGAAUACGUUCCCGGGCCUUGUACACACCGCCCGUCACACCAUGGGAGUGGAUUGCACCAGAAGUAGCUAGCUUAACCUUCGGGAGGGCGGUUACCACGGUGUGGUUCAUGACUGGGGU